Trifolium pratense (red clover) is the source of this 706-nucleotide long non-coding RNA. RefSeq lists it as uncharacterized. NCBI's taxonomy places the organism in Eukaryota, Viridiplantae, Streptophyta, Magnoliopsida, Fabales, Fabaceae. The transcript is spliced from 2 exons. The record is from RefSeq and is a predicted model, not a curated record.
GAAACCAUCUUAUUUUGCCCGUUCAGAGCAAAUUGAGACCAAACAAAUUCCGAAAAAAAUAAAAUAAAACCAAACAUACAUUACUUAAAGGUUAUAAAGGGGCAUAUUAACUCAUUGUUGUACUUAAGGGACAUUUAAUAAUUAUUAAAAUUUUAGAAAGGUUUUUUUACAACUCUAUAAGUGAUAAAAAAAAUUAAUUGAAGUAAGGAGAACAUGAGCUUUAUAAAUUAAUUAAAAAGUGAUAGAAUCUACCCAAAAAAAAAAGUGAUAGAAUCAUAUUCUAUUUGAUACAUGCAAAAGAUGGAAAAUAUGGUUAAAAUUGUCAAGUUUAUUUUUUUUAUGAUCAUCAUUCUUUCCCCAUUUGUUGUUGCAACAAACCUUGAUGUAAUACUUCCAUGUGUUGAAGACGAUGAUUGUCCAUACGAUGCCCAACUGUGCCCACCUCCUGGUCAAAUUAUGUGUAUUAAAAGUAUUUGUUCGUGUCGUAAUUCGAUCCAUUGAUUAUAAGUGGCAGAUCCAAGAGAAUACACAAACGAACUGUGAGAAUUUUUCAUAAGUUGUUAUAUGGUUAUUGUGGUGGCACCCGAAUUUAAUUUUCUUUAGCUUUUAAAAUUUCAUGGAACUUGUUGGUUUUGUACUUUAAGAUGAUACAAUUAAAAUGAAAUAAAGCAUCAAAUAAUAUGAUCUUUAUUUGUCUUGAUAAUAA